AACGAACGCUGGCGGCAUGCCUAACACAUGCAAGUCGAACGAGACCUUCGGGUCUAGUGGCGCACGGGUGCGUAACGCGUGGGAACCUGCCCUUAGGUUCGGAACAACUCCCCGAAAGGGGUGCUAAUACCGGAUAAUGUCUUCGGACCAAAGAUUUAUCGCCUUUGGAUGGGCCCGCGUUGGAUUAGCUAGUUGGUAGGGUACAAGCCUACCAAGGCGACGAUCCAUAGCUGGUCUGAGAGGAUGAUCAGCCACAAUGGGACUGAGACACGGCCCAGACUCCUACGGGAGGCAGCAGUGGGGAAUAUUAGACAAUGGGCGAAAGCCUGAUCCAGCAAUGCCGCGUGAGUGAUGAAGGCCUUAGGGUUGUAAAGCUCUUUUACCCGAGAUGAUAAUGACAGUACCGGGAGAAUAAGCUCCGGCUAACUCCGUG
RNAcentral lists this ribosomal RNA (433 nucleotides) under uncultured bacterium. RNAcentral's name for it is "partial 16S ribosomal RNA". It matches the Rfam family "Bacterial small subunit ribosomal RNA", at positions 29 to 507 of the family's 1533-position model. The record is from RNAcentral.